AGACCAUGAUGAGGGUAUUUCCUCAAUAGCUUCUUGAAUCUUUCCUAAGUUUCAUAUAAGGAUUCCCCGUCCUCUUGUGAAUAUUCUGUCAUUAAUUUAGCGGUUU
Molecule: small nucleolar RNA, 106 nt
Filed under: Helianthus annuus (common sunflower)
Lineage: Eukaryota; Viridiplantae; Streptophyta; Magnoliopsida; Asterales; Asteraceae
Description: Plant small nucleolar RNA R71
Rfam family: Plant small nucleolar RNA R71
About the family: R71 is a member of the C/D box family of snoRNAs containing the C (UGAUGA) and D (CUGA) box motifs.
Source: RNAcentral